CUCGCUUGCUCCCCGUCCCCCCAACUCCCUUUUUUUCUCCUCAAAAUUUGUGCCAGUGCAGUGUCUCCACCGGGCAGGAUUGAAACUUUGGCAAACACAUAUCCAUUGCAUUCAUUUUUCUCCCCUUGUUUUGGUGUGGUUUUCUGGAAUGAAAGAAGCCUCUUGUUUUGCAAACCUCUUUGCAUUUCUAAUGUGUUUCCUUUCGGAUUUUCAUUAU
RNAcentral lists this long non-coding RNA (217 nucleotides) under Homo sapiens (human). RNAcentral describes it as "HSALNT0239398". Lineage: Eukaryota; Metazoa; Chordata; Mammalia; Primates; Hominidae. The record is from RNAcentral.